CAGUGGGUGCGAAUCCCACCCGGCUACUGUCGCUCCGGCCGGAAGCACUUUGGAGCAGUUCAGGAGGCAACGAAUGGGCUGAAGUAUCUGAAGAAAAGGCUUCUUUAGGAAGUCAGUGACUGUGCAGGCCGUAGCGCGC
RNAcentral lists this non-coding RNA (139 nucleotides) under Pseudomonas marginalis. RNAcentral also lists the same sequence under 1 other name. The record is from RNAcentral. Lineage: Bacteria; Pseudomonadati; Pseudomonadota; Gammaproteobacteria; Pseudomonadales; Pseudomonadaceae.